Molecule: ribosomal RNA, 467 nt
Filed under: uncultured bacterium
Lineage: Bacteria
Description: partial 16S ribosomal RNA
Rfam family: Bacterial small subunit ribosomal RNA
Source: RNAcentral
GACGAACGCUGGCGGCGUGCUUAACACAUGCAAGUCGAACGGAAAGGCCUCUUUCGGGGGGUACUCGAGUGGCGAACGGGUGAGUAACACAUGAGUAACCUGCCCUUGACUUUGGGAUAACUUCAGGAAACUGGGGCUAAUACCGGAUAGGAGCUCCUGCUGCAUGGUGGGGGUUGGAAAGUUUCGGCGGUUGGGGAUGGACUCGCGGCUUAUCAGCUUGUUGGUGGGGUAGUGGCUUACCAAGGCUUUGACGGGUAGCCGGCCUGAGAGGGUGACCGGCCACAUUGGGACUGAGAUACGGCCCAGACUCCUACGGGAGGCAGCAGUGGGGAAUAUUGCACAAUGGGUGGAAGCCUGAUGCAGCAACGCCGUGUGCGGGAUGACGGCCUUCGGGUUGUAAACCGCUUUCGCUCAUGACGAAGCUUUGUGUGACGGUAGUGGGUAAAGAAGCACCGGCUAACUACGUG